CUGGUGUCAGCCGCCGCGGUAAUACCAGCACCCCGAGUGGUCGGGACGAUUAUUGGGCCUAAAGCAUCCGUAGCCGGCCUUACAAGUCCUCCGUUAAAUCCAGCUGCUUAACAGAUGGGCUGCGGAGGAUACUAUAAGACUAGGAGGCAGGAGAGGCAAGCGGUACUCAGUGGGUAGGGGUAAAAUCCGUUGAUCCAUUGAAGACCACCGGUGGCGAAGGCGGCUUGCCAGAAUGCGCUCGACGGUGAGGGAUGAAAGCUGGGGGAGCAAACCGGAUUAGAUACCCGGGUAGUCCCAGCUGUAAACGAUGCAGACUCGGUGAUGGACUAGCUUUAUGCUGGUCCAGUGCCGCAGGGAAGCCGUUAAGUCUGCCGCCUGGGUAGUACGGUCACAAGACUGAAACUUAAAGGAAUUGGCGGGGGAGCACCACAAGGGGUGAAGCCUGCGGUUCAAUUGGAGUCAACGCCGGGAAUCUUACCGGGGGCGACAGCAGGAUGAAGGUCAAGCUGAAGACUUUACUAGACAAGCU
RNAcentral lists this ribosomal RNA (529 nucleotides) under uncultured Nitrososphaerota archaeon. RNAcentral's name for it is "bacterial SSU rRNA". It matches the Rfam family "Archaeal small subunit ribosomal RNA", at positions 452 to 981 of the family's 1478-position model. The record is from RNAcentral. Lineage: Archaea; Thermoproteati; Nitrososphaerota.